GCGGGGGUUGCCGAGUGGACAAAGGCGUUGGAUUCAGGGUCCAAUCCCGUAGGGGUUCGAGGGUUCGAAUCCCUCCCCCCGCA
Molecule: transfer RNA, 83 nt
Filed under: Archaeoglobus sp.
Lineage: Archaea; Methanobacteriati; Methanobacteriota; Archaeoglobi; Archaeoglobales; Archaeoglobaceae
Also listed under: 1 other name
Description: tRNA-Leu
Rfam family: tRNA
About the family: Transfer RNA (tRNA) molecules are approximately 80 nucleotides in length.
Source: RNAcentral